Molecule: transfer RNA, 63 nt
Filed under: Tuxedo nicholi
Lineage: Eukaryota; Metazoa; Arthropoda; Insecta; Hemiptera; Miridae
Description: tRNA-Glu
Source: RNAcentral
AUUUAUAUAGUUUAUAAUAAAACAUUUCAUUUUCAAUGAAAAAACAAGAUGAUUCUUUAUAAA